GAGCGAACGCUGGCGGCAGGCUUAACACAUGCAAGUCGAGCGGGCGUAGCAAUACGUCAGCGGCAGACGGGUGAGUAACGCGUGGGAACGUACCUUUUGGUUCGGAACAACACAGGGAAACUUGUGCUAAUACCGGAUAAGCCCUUACGGGGAAAGAUUUAUCGCCGAAAGAUCGGCCCGCGUCUGAUUAGCUAGUUGGUGAGGUAACGGCUCACCAAGGCGACGAUCAGUAGCUGGUCUGAGAGGAUGAUCAGCCACAUUGGGACUGAGACACGGCCCAAACUCCUACGGGAGGCAGCAGUGGGGAAUAUUGGACAAUGGGCGCAAGCCUGAUCCAGCCAUGCCGNNUGAGUGAUGAAGGCCCUAGGGUUGUAAAGCUCUUUUGUGCGGAAGAUAAUGACGGUA
Molecule: ribosomal RNA, 405 nt
Filed under: uncultured rape rhizosphere bacterium wr0119
Lineage: Bacteria
Description: bacterial SSU rRNA
Rfam family: Bacterial small subunit ribosomal RNA
Source: RNAcentral